CAAAGCCAUUUAGUCUGAUGGGUUUGGGAAAAGGAAGAAAACAAUCUAGGUAUCACAGGAAGAAAAUGUGUUUAAUAUUAUUGUUCAGAGGAAACAGAAUACCUGUAUCACAUGUCACUGACACAAUAAUCAGUUGUUACUUGGAAAAGCUAAAACAUAAAUGCCAUACAGUGUUUUCAGCUGAACAGUUACAGAAUACUGGAGUGCUAUCAUCAUCCAUCUCAAAAUCAGGAAAUGGCAGCAGCUAAAAUUAUGUCCCCAGACCAGGGUAAGAAGAGAUGAGCAGUGAAAAACUGUGCUUGCUCACCUAUUUCUGUGAAGAAUCACUGUAAACAAACAAAAAGAACCCCAAACAAAAUCUCCCAAAACCACAAGAACAAAACAACAAAGAUCAGCUUUUGCCUUCCACUUCUGUACAGGAAGGAGACAUUUACUGAUUAGACUGCAUCAUAUUAGA
Parus major (Great Tit) is the source of this 457-nucleotide long non-coding RNA. RefSeq lists it as uncharacterized. Lineage: Eukaryota; Metazoa; Chordata; Aves; Passeriformes; Paridae. The record is from RefSeq and is a predicted model, not a curated record. The transcript is spliced from 3 exons.